This 497-nucleotide unclassified non-coding RNA is filed under the name Hevea brasiliensis (rubber tree). Lineage: Eukaryota; Viridiplantae; Streptophyta; Magnoliopsida; Malpighiales; Euphorbiaceae. The record is from RNAcentral.
AUGAACUGAGCAUACCUUUUUAUCGUCUUUUUAUUGACUAAUUGGCUAUUGUCCAUGAAGAAUCAAUACCUUUUUAUGAGGGUAGGGUUGCUCACUAAUUGGCUAACCUGACCCAAAAAUCCAGCUUUAAUUGACAGUUUAUCGGAUCAGGCUGAUUUACAUGUUGUAAAUAUGCUUUUGUUGAUCAAUUUGGUUUUAUCUGAUUAUCCUCCAAAUUCAAAACCGCUCGGUGAAGCAUGUCCAUUUCUCACCCUUUUGCCAUAGACGAUGCAUCCAAACUCCUCCAUCAUCGUCAUCAAACUCCCAAGCUCCCAUAGCAGCCAAUAUCAUCUCUUCCUAUACGUCCUUUUCCUUUCUUUUUCUCCACUGUUUCUCUCUGCAUUGCUUCCUUUCUCAUUAUGGGUUUUUUCUCACUUCUCUACAACAAGGAUUUCUGGGUAUCUAUUCAAGGUAACGCAUCUGUUUUUGUUUCUUGUGUGGAUUUUUGUGGGUGACUG